RNAcentral lists this ribosomal RNA (429 nucleotides) under Actinomycetes bacterium. Its description in RNAcentral is "Actinobacteria bacterium partial 16S ribosomal RNA". It matches the Rfam family "Bacterial small subunit ribosomal RNA", at positions 355 to 776 of the family's 1533-position model. Lineage: Bacteria; Bacillati; Actinomycetota; Actinomycetes. The record is from RNAcentral.
UAGGGAAUCUUCCGCAAUGGGCGAAAGCCUGACGGAGCAACGCCGCGUUAGUGAUGAAGGUCUUCGGAUCGUAAAACUCUGUUAUUAGGGAAGAACAAAUGUGUAAGUAACUAUGCACGUCUUGACGGUACCUAAUCAGAAAGCCACGGCUAACUACGUGCCAGCAGCCGCGGUAAUACGUAGGUGGCAAGCGUUAUCCGGAAUUAUUGGGCGUAAAGCGCGCGUAGGCGGUUUUUUAAGUCUGAUGUGAAAGCCCACGGCUCAACCGUGGAGGGUCAUUGGAAACUGGAAAACUUGAGUGCAGAAGAGGAAAGUGGAAUUCCAUGUGUAGCGGUGAAAUGCGCAGGGAUAUGGAGGAACACCAGUGGAGAAGGCGACUUUCUGGUCUGUAACUGACGCUGAUGUGCGAAAGCGUGGGGAUCAAACAGG